Long non-coding RNA from Gorilla gorilla gorilla (western lowland gorilla), 773 nucleotides. RefSeq lists it as uncharacterized. NCBI's taxonomy places the organism in Eukaryota, Metazoa, Chordata, Mammalia, Primates, Hominidae. The record is from RefSeq and is a predicted model, not a curated record. The transcript is spliced from 2 exons.
CUGUCUUACUUUCUGGUCACAUAAGCAAUAUAUGCUCAUUGUGAGGUUUGGUUGUUCCAUUACAAAAAAGACUGUUUUAAAAGCCAUUAGCGGAGGGAUGGGAGGAGUUCUCUUCUGCCUGUUUCUUCCUCCUAAACAGCGAAAUGACUGUGUCCUCAAAGGGAUGUAUAAUGAGCGAGAGGCGAAAAAGAACGUCCCUGAUUUUAAAUCCACAGUGUCCUUCACCAGUGAGCAAUAGUAGUUCUGUGAGUGGGAGACCAGGACCACUGUGCUUGCAAACAGCACUUUAAAACACUGGAACCCAAGUUCAGGAUCUGCUGACAGCACAUCCGCAGUCUCUACAAUAACAACUUAACUCUUUCAAUUAAUUGCCCAUCAGAAAAUCGUUGAAUCCAUCUGUGACCUGGACACCUUCCACCUCCAUCCAUGGAGUUGUGUCACCUUUCUGGACCAAGCCACUGGACACCUUACAUGUAUCGAUUGGCAACACGUACACCUCCACACACUGCUAAAUGACAAAGCGGAAUUUUGAAAUACAAAACUGUGAGGGGUUUGGACAAGAGAACUGAAAUGACAUCAUGGAGGUGGCAGGGGAUCGUCUUGCCCUUUUCUUAUUUUCUGCCUGUAACUUCUGUCCCCCUAAAAUGCAUAAAAUCCAGCUAGAACCUAACCACCUUAUGCAGCAGUUCUUAGGACUUCCUGGGGCUGUGUCAUCAUUCAAAGUCCUCAUAUUUGGCUCACAAUAAAUCUCAUCAAAUAAUUUACAAAUUUGA